Molecule: non-coding RNA, 250 nt
Organism: Pelobates cultripes (western spadefoot toad)
Lineage: Eukaryota; Metazoa; Chordata; Amphibia; Anura; Pelobatidae
Source: the annotation of a GenBank genome assembly
CUUAGACAUUAUUGCAUUUCAUGUACAAACCAACGAACCACUGCAUUUUCGCCUACACACUGACCCCUACCGGUCAUUCGGUGUACUACCGGAUUCUCAGACAUUAUUGCAUUUCAUGAAAAAAACAACCAAACACCGCAUUUUCACCUACACACUGACCCCUAUUGGUCAUUCGGUGUACUACAGGCAUCUUAGACGUUUUUUGCAUUUUCAUGUACAAACCAAUAAACCACCUCAUUUUCACCUACAC